Rhododendron vialii is the source of this 1208-nucleotide long non-coding RNA. RefSeq lists it as uncharacterized. NCBI's taxonomy places the organism in Eukaryota, Viridiplantae, Streptophyta, Magnoliopsida, Ericales, Ericaceae. The transcript is spliced from 3 exons. The record is from RefSeq and is a predicted model, not a curated record.
GGGAGUAGUGGAGAACCUUUGGCUACUUACUCUCUUUCACCAUCAAAGCUCCAUCUGAAGAAGAGGGAAUAUGACUCACCAACAGUCUUGUUGGUGUCCUCUCAGCUGGAUAUCCAACUGAGACAUCGUUGGCAAGAUAUGGAAAGGUUGAGCCCUUCUUUUGGAAGCAGAAAGCUUAGGAGUGGCCAACUAGCACGCGACAUCCUUCGCGGGCAUAUCCAGAUGUAUACUUACCCACUAGGGAGCCAAAGAAUAGGAGGCAAGACGUAUUCUGCAAGGAAGUACUUCACAGUGGGGAUCUAAAGGCGCAAGUUGUGGAGCCUGGGUUUAUGGACAGCGAGGUCAAGUACCUAAGAUCGUAUUUAACAAUUAUAGAAAGGCGAAGUUUGUAAUUUUAGUGGGGGUCUUUGGGACAAUUAUGUGAUAAAUGUAGAGUCAAAUGUGCCAAAUAUCAACAAAAAUUUAGACUAUUGUAGGAUCACCUCAUUCCCCAAGCCCUUCCUCUUCCCUGGGCAGCCACUUUCUUAACACAGAAUUGAGCGGCAACCCCAACGUGGGCAUAGUGGCAACAAGUUGGCUGCCUAUGAUUAAUUGGUAUUUGUCUCAUCCCUAAGCACAGCACAGAGAAUCAAAACCCCUAUCCUUCUAGUCACCAUACUAAAUGGGAGUAAACUCCUCUGGCAAGCUUUAUCUUCAUUUUUUAGUAUUAGACACAGAAAGCUUUAGUUACAUACUAGGUUGGUAACAAUAGUGGGCAAAAUGUGCAGCCUCGACCAUGUGUUGCUAGUUUUACUCGUUGCGUCGUAUUAAUUGGAUUUGUUGGGUGUUGUAAGCAUUCUGAGUUCUGGUAUCUUCAAAUCCCAGACAAGUUUGUUACAGACAAGACCUCACGCUGAAGGCUUGAUCCAACUUCAGUAAUUAUAGCUUUCCAUGUGAGCCGGUUGUGCAAUGUCAUUGACACUUGUGGUUACUCAAGUCUUUAUCCGAAUAUUAAUUCUGCGAGUAAUUGCACGAUUGUUGCACUUAUCACUUCAAUUCUGUACAAAUGAUAAAUCAUCUGAUGAGCUUUUUGUUAACCUAUCAGAUUAUUGGAAGAAACAGCAAGAGUACUUUCCGGGAAAAGAUGCUAGUGGCCAAGGUACCAUUAGUUUCAUAUCUGGAAAUGAAUCUGCAUGAGCAAACUACCAUUGAAUUCUAAUCAUACUAAU